RNAcentral lists this ribosomal RNA (440 nucleotides) under uncultured bacterium. RNAcentral describes it as "partial 16S ribosomal RNA". It matches the Rfam family "Bacterial small subunit ribosomal RNA", at positions 338 to 795 of the family's 1533-position model. The record is from RNAcentral.
CCUACGGGAGGCAGCAGUGGGGAAUAUUGCACAAUGGGGGAAACCCUGAUGCAGCAACGCCGCGUGAGUGAUGACGGCUUUCGGGUUGUAAAGCUCUGUCUUCAGGGACGAAAAUGACGGUACCUGAGUAAGAAGCCACGGCUAACUACGUGCCAGCAGCCGCGGUAAUACGUAGGGGGCGAGCGUUAUCCGGAUUUACUGGGCGUAAAGGGAGCGUAGGCGGACUGAUAAGUGAGUUGUGAAAUACCCGGGCUUAACUUGGGUGCUGCUUUGCAAACUGGGAGGCUAGAGUGCAGGAGAGGAAAGUGGAAUUCCUAGUGUAGCGGUGAAAUGCGUAGAGAUUAGGAAGAACACCAGUGGCGAAGGCGGUUCUCUGGACUGUAACUGACGCUGAGGCUCGAAAGCGUGGGGAGCAAACAGGAUUAGAUACCCUAGUAGUC